RNAcentral lists this ribosomal RNA (460 nucleotides) under uncultured bacterium. RNAcentral describes it as "partial 16S ribosomal RNA". It matches the Rfam family "Bacterial small subunit ribosomal RNA", at positions 338 to 795 of the family's 1533-position model. The record is from RNAcentral.
CCUACGGGUGGCAGCAGUGAGGAAUAUUGGUCAAUGGCCGAGAGGCUGAACCAGCCAAGUCGCGUGAGGGAAGACGGCCCUACGGGUUGUAAACCUCUUUUGUCGGGGAGCAAAGCGAGUCACGUGUGACUCAUUGAGAGUACCCGAAGAAAAAGCAUCGGCUAACUCCGUGCCAGCAGCCGCGGUAAUACGGAGGGUGCAAGCGUUACUCGGAAUCACUGGGCGUAAAGAGUGCGCAGGCGGGCUUGUAAGUCAGAUGUGAAAUCCUGUAGCUUAACUACAGAACUGCAUUUGAAACUAUGAGUCUAGAGUGUGGGAGAGGUAGGUGGAAUUCUUGGUGUAGGGGUAAAAUCCGUAGAUAUCAAGAGGAAUACUCAUUGCGAAGGCGACCUACUGGAACAUUACUGACGCUCAUGCACGAAAGCGUGGGGAGCAAACAGGAUUAGAUACCCGGGUAGUC